AGGCUAUUCAAUGCCGCCGAGCUGUUAUUGUCAAAACCUAAGAGGAUUUAAACAUCUUGACGUCAAAUUGAGGGCACUGUAAUCAUUUGAGUGUUCAAAAUAAUAAUCAAUUUGUCAUCAUACCGAUGAGUUCAAACCACAUUGUGAAGAAAACUAUGGCAGUCCAUGGCAAUGAUCCAAUUAUUCCUUGCAGGACGAUGAUCUGAAACGUCCGCACCUUCAUUACAGAUCUUGUUGCUACCAAAGAAUCCCUCCAUAUAGAAGGAGGUGGAAGAACAUCUUUGCUGGCCAAAUGUAACCUGGGUGA
This 307-nucleotide small RNA is filed under the name Oryza sativa Japonica Group (Japanese rice). RNAcentral describes it as "sRNA Os07g0208950". Lineage: Eukaryota; Viridiplantae; Streptophyta; Magnoliopsida; Poales; Poaceae. The record is from RNAcentral.